This 263-nucleotide ribosomal RNA is filed under the name uncultured archaeon. Its description in RNAcentral is "partial 16S ribosomal RNA". It matches the Rfam family "Archaeal small subunit ribosomal RNA", at positions 748 to 1009 of the family's 1478-position model. The record is from RNAcentral.
CAGCCGUAAACUAAUGCUCGCUAGGUGUCAGGCAUGGCGCGACCGUGUCUGGUGCCGCAGGGAAGCCGUGAAGCGAGCCACCUGGGAAGUACGGCCGCAAGGCUGAAACUUAAAGGAAUUGGCGGGGGGAGCACCACAACGGGUGGAGCCUGCGGUUUAAUUGGACUCAACGCCGGGAAGCUCACCGGAUAGGACAGCAGAAUGAUUGCCGGGCUGAAGACCCUGCAUGACUAGCUGAGAGGAGGUGCAUGGCGUAGACGUCU